RNAcentral lists this transfer RNA (88 nucleotides) under Penicillium decumbens. It matches the Rfam family "tRNA". From Rfam's summary of the family: Transfer RNA (tRNA) molecules are approximately 80 nucleotides in length. Their secondary structure includes four short double-helical elements and three loops (D, anti-codon, and T loops). Further hydrogen bonds mediate the characteristic L-shaped molecular structure. tRNAs have two regions of fundamental functional importance: the anti-codon, which is responsible for specific mRNA codon recognition, and the 3' end, to which the tRNAs corresponding amino acid is attached (by aminoacyl-tRNA synthetases). tRNAs cope with the degeneracy of the genetic code in two manners: having more than one tRNA (with a specific anti-codon) for a particular amino acid; and 'wobble' base-pairing, i.e. permitting non-standard base-pairing at the 3rd anti-codon position. Lineage: Eukaryota; Fungi; Ascomycota; Eurotiomycetes; Eurotiales; Aspergillaceae. The record is from Rfam by way of RNAcentral.
GGGACGAUAGCUCAGUUGGGAGAGCGUGCGAUUGAAGUUUACUUCGAAGAUCUUCGCAAGGUCGCUGGUUCGAUCCCGGCUCGUCCCA